This 378-nucleotide ribosomal RNA is filed under the name Clostridioides difficile. RNAcentral describes it as "bacterial LSU rRNA". It matches the Rfam family "Bacterial large subunit ribosomal RNA", at positions 2545 to 2925 of the family's 2925-position model. Lineage: Bacteria; Bacillati; Bacillota; Clostridia; Peptostreptococcales; Peptostreptococcaceae. The record is from RNAcentral.
UCCUGGGGCUGUAGUAGGUCCCAAGGGUUGGGCUGUUCGCCCAUUAAAGUGGUACGCGAGCUGGGUUCAGAACGUCGUGAGACAGUUCGGUCCCUAUCCGUCGCAGGCGUAGGAAAUUUGAGAAGACCUGUCCUUAGUACGAGAGGACCGGGAUGGACGUACCUCUGGUGUACCAGUUGUUCUGCCAAGGGCAUGGCUGGGUAGCUAUGUACGGAAUGGAUAAGCGCUGAAAGCAUCUAAGCGCGAAGCCAACUUCAAGAUAAGAUUUCCCACCGUAAGGGUAAGACCCCAGAAAGACUAUCUGGUUGAUAGGUCGAAGGUGUAAGUGCAGCAAUGUAUUUAGCUUAUCGAUACUAAUAGGUCGAGGACUUGACCAAU